Molecule: long non-coding RNA, 216 nt
Filed under: Elaeis guineensis (African oil palm)
Lineage: Eukaryota; Viridiplantae; Streptophyta; Magnoliopsida; Arecales; Arecaceae
Description: long non-coding RNA (EGUI_LNC082082)
Source: RNAcentral
GGAACUUGGAAUAGGCGACUCGUUUAAUUGAGAAACCAAGUAGAAUAGGUGAUGUGUGAGGCGGAGUUGCCCUCCUUCUGUCUUCUUCUUGAUGACAAGGUGCAGAUUUGUUAUUUGGAUCAUGUCUCUUAACCUGCUUAUUACAUCUUUUACUAAAAAAAAAAAAAAAAAAAAAAAAAAAAAAAAAAAAAAAGCUUAUUACAUUCGUUCUCUCAU